RNAcentral lists this signal recognition particle RNA (289 nucleotides) under Macaca mulatta (Rhesus monkey). Its description in RNAcentral is "Metazoan signal recognition particle RNA (ENSMMUG00000061828.1)". It matches the Rfam family "Metazoan signal recognition particle RNA". Rfam says of the family: The signal recognition particle (SRP) is a universally conserved ribonucleoprotein. It is involved in the co-translational targeting of proteins to membranes. The eukaryotic SRP consists of a 300-nucleotide 7S RNA and six proteins: SRPs 72, 68, 54, 19, 14, and 9. The record is from RNAcentral. Lineage: Eukaryota; Metazoa; Chordata; Mammalia; Primates; Cercopithecidae.
GCCGGGCGAGGUGGCGGGCGCCUGUAAUCCCAGCUACUCGGAGGCUGAGGCAGGAGAAUGGCGUGAACCCGGGAGGCGGACGGAGCUUGCAGUGAGCUGAGAUCCGGCCACUGCACUCCAGCCUGGGCGGCAGAGCGAGACUCCGUCUCAAAAAAAAAAAAAAAAAAAAAAAAAGAAAAUUUUUUUUUUGAGAUAGCCUCACUCUGUCGCCCAGGCUGGAGUGCAAUGGGUGGUGUGAUCUCGGCUCACUGCAACCCCCGCCUCCUGGGUUCUAGUGAUUCUCCUGCCU